RNAcentral lists this ribosomal RNA (1356 nucleotides) under uncultured marine eukaryote. RNAcentral's name for it is "SSU rRNA". It matches the Rfam family "Eukaryotic small subunit ribosomal RNA", at positions 411 to 1779 of the family's 1831-position model. The record is from RNAcentral.
CACUUCUAAGGAAGGCAGCAGGCGCGCAAAUUACCCAAUCCUGACUCAGGGAGGUAGUGACAAGAAAUAACAAUAAACCGGCUUAUGCCGGUUUAAUUGGAAUGAGUACAAUUUAAACAUCUUAACGAGGAACAAUUGGAGGGCAAGUCUGGUGCCAGCAGCCGCGGUAAUUCCAGCUCCAAUAGCGUAUACUAAAGUUGUUGCAGUUAAAAAGCUCGUAGUUGGAUUUCUGUGGGGACGGAGCGGCCGGCCGCACAUCGCGGUUCGAGCUAGCGCUUUCCCUACAUCCUGCCGCGAACCGUGCUACCAUUAAUUUGGUGGCGCCGGGGAUCGGCUCGAUUACUUUGAGAAAAAUAGAGUGUUCAAAGCAGGCCACAUGCCUUGAAUAAGUUAGCAUGGAAUAAUAACCAAGGACUUCGGUUCUAUUUUGUUGGUGUUCGGGACUGAAGUAAUGAUUGAUAGGGACAGUUGGGGCGGUCUGUAUUCCAAAGCGAGAGGUGAAAUUCUUAGACCUUCGGAAGACAAACAGCUGCGAAAGCGUUCCGCAAGGAUGCUCCCUUUGAUCAAGAACGAAAGUUGGGGGAUCGAAGACGAUCAGAUACCGUCGUAGUCUCAACUAUAAACUAUACCAGCUAGGGAUCGGCCAACGUUAUUUCAUACCGACUUGGUCGGCACCUUAUGAGAAAUCAAAGCAUCUGGGUUCCGGGGGGAGUAUGGUCGCAAGGCUGAAACUUAAAGGAAUUGACGGAAGGGCACCACCAGCCGUGGAGCCUGUGGCUUAAUUUGACUCAACACGGGAAAACUUACCAGGUCCAGACAUAGUAAGGAUUGACAGAUUGAUAGCUCUUUCUUGAUUCUGUGGGUGGUGGUGCAUGGCCGUUCUUAGUUGGUGGAGUGAUUUGUCUGGUUAAUUCCGUUAACGGACGAGACCCCAGCCUGCUAAAUAGCGCGCGUGAGCUUUGCUCGCGGCGAGCUUCUUAGAGGGACUAUGAUGCGCGAUAGCGCAUGGAAGUUUGGGGCAAUAACAGGUCUGUGAUGCCCUUAGAUGUUCUGGGCCGCACACGGGCUACACUGGCGCCUGCAACGAGCAUAUCAGCUGGCCCGAGAGGGUCUUGGCUAAUCUUUUGAACCGGCGCCGUGCUUGGGAUUGACCUUUGCAAUUGUUGGUCAUGCAACGAGGAAUGCCUUGUAAACGCGAGUCAUCAGCUCGCAUUGAAUACGUCCCUGCCCUUUGUACACACCGCCCGUCGCUCCUACCGAUGAAUGUUCCGAUGAAAUUUUCGGAGAGCACCUGUGAACUUGGCUCUGCCUUGCGAACGGGAGGCUCAAAGUCACUUAAAUCUGAACAUUUCGAGG